This 117-nucleotide ribosomal RNA is filed under the name Solanum laxissimum. The record is from RNAcentral. Lineage: Eukaryota; Viridiplantae; Streptophyta; Magnoliopsida; Solanales; Solanaceae.
GAUCCCAUCAGAACUCCGCAGUUAACGUGCUUGGGCGAGAGUAGUACUAGGAUGGGUGACCCCCGGGAAGUCCUCGGUUGCAUCCCUCCAUGCGAUCAUACCAGCACUAACGCACCG